This 341-nucleotide unclassified non-coding RNA is filed under the name Hevea brasiliensis (rubber tree). Lineage: Eukaryota; Viridiplantae; Streptophyta; Magnoliopsida; Malpighiales; Euphorbiaceae. The record is from RNAcentral.
UUUUGCUUUGCAUCUAAACCUUCAGCAAGAUCAGCAUAGUACUCAAAACAUCCAGCAACAUCAUCUAUAUCCCAUGCUGCUUCAUCCAGUGGUUUUCCGCAAUCAAGUGCUUCAAGUUUUGCUAGUUCAGGUUUCCUCUCUGUUAUCUUAGCAGCAAUAGCACGCAAAUGCUUGGCACGAAAUGCACCAGAAGUGAAAGCCCAAUCUCGGCCUUUGUUCCGGGUAAAUGCUUUCCGGGCUGCUUCCACCGCUAGCUCCACAUCUUCUGCAGUAGCUGCAGGUAUAUCACCAAUGAUCUCCUCCGUAGAGGGGUUGAUGAUGGGGAUGCGUUUCUUGAGAAC